Molecule: ribosomal RNA, 533 nt
Filed under: uncultured bacterium
Lineage: Bacteria
Description: bacterial SSU rRNA
Rfam family: Bacterial small subunit ribosomal RNA
Source: RNAcentral
AAUAGAUACCCUGGUAGUCCACGCCGUAAACGGUGGGCACUAGAUGUGGGGCUCUUUCCAUGAGUUCCGCGUCGCAGCUAACGCAUUAAGUGCCCCGCCUGGGGAGUACGGCCGCAAGGCUAAAACUCAAAGGAAUUGACGGGGGCCCGCACAAGCGGCGGAGCAUGCGGAUUAAUUCGAUGCAACGCGAAGAACCUUACCAAGGCUUGACAUAUACGGUCUAUCCCUAGAGAUAGGGAGUGCUUCGGCGCCGUAUACAGGUGGUGCAUGGUUGUCGUCAGCUCGUGUCGUGAGAUGUUGGGUUAAGUCCCGCAACGAGCGCAACCCUCGUCCUAUGUUGCCAGCGGAUAAUGCCGGGGACUCAUGGGAGACUGCCGGGGUCAACGUCGGAGGAAGGUGGGGAUGAGGUCAAAUCAUCAUGCCCCUUAUGUCUUGGGCUUCACGCAUGCUACAAUGGCCGGUACAAAGGGCUGCAAUACCGCGAGGUGGAGCGAAUCCCAAAAAGCCGGUCUCAGUUCGGAUUGAGGUCGUCG